CUUCGCGUCGUCGUCCACGCUGUUCGUCAUCGAGUUCAUCCUCUUCCACUACGUCGAGAUCCGGCGGUGGCAGGACAUCAAGAACCCCGGCAGCGUCAACCAGGACCCCAUCUUCAAGAGCUACAGCCUGCCGCCCCACGAGUGCGGAUACCCCGGCAGCGUCUUCAACCCGCUCAACUUCGCGCCCACGCUCGAGGCCAAGGAGAAGGAGCUCGCCAACGGUGAGUAGCUUCUGAUCCCGUGACUACACGGUCGCCGUCCGCCGGCAACUUGAAAUGUUUACUAACCAUAUCCGGAUGUGAUGUGCCUGUUCAUGCAGGGAGGCUGGCCAUGCUGGCGUUCCUGGGGUUCCUGAUCCAGCACAACGUCACCGGCAAGGGGCCCUUCGACAACCUGCUGCAGCACCUGUCCGACCCAUGGCACAACACCAUCAUCCAGACUUUCUCCGGUUGAGUCGACGGGGAGUGAUCACCAAUUUGGUGGGCUGAUGGGGACAGGAGGACAUACAUUGAAACGCGAUCGAUGUGAAUUCCUUUCUGUGUGGAUCAUCAGUUUGUGAUGUGUGUUUAAUCC
Molecule: long non-coding RNA, 573 nt
Filed under: Setaria viridis
Lineage: Eukaryota; Viridiplantae; Streptophyta; Magnoliopsida; Poales; Poaceae
Description: long non-coding RNA (SVIR_LNC007331)
Source: RNAcentral